AGGAAGUAGUAUAAUGGAAGUACUAAGG
RNAcentral lists this transfer RNA (28 nucleotides) under Fundulopanchax gardneri (blue lyretail). Its description in RNAcentral is "partial tRNA-Gln". Lineage: Eukaryota; Metazoa; Chordata; Actinopteri; Cyprinodontiformes; Nothobranchiidae. The record is from RNAcentral.